RNAcentral lists this long non-coding RNA (275 nucleotides) under Elaeis guineensis (African oil palm). Its description in RNAcentral is "long non-coding RNA (EGUI_LNC003353)". The record is from RNAcentral. Lineage: Eukaryota; Viridiplantae; Streptophyta; Magnoliopsida; Arecales; Arecaceae.
CUCUAUGGGUAGACCCUACAGCCACCGUUGAUUGCCGGAGAUUUCUCUCCGAUUUUUCCGUUGAAGCCACGGCCUCCUAUUCUUGUGCUCGCCGGAAAACAGAGGCCGAAGACACCGCCGGAGCUCAGGUAAGGCUCCAACCUUUCUUCCUCUCCUUCUUCCGUUUCCCCUCUGGCCCCAAUUAUCAUUGUCGGUCGCCGACUUUGCCAGAAAUCGAGAAGAAAAUGAUGCUCUAUUUUUCCUCUGUUCGGCCGAGCCAUCUCCCUCCCUUUUCC